This 72-nucleotide transfer RNA is filed under the name Neotoma lepida (desert woodrat). It matches the Rfam family "tRNA". From Rfam's summary of the family: Transfer RNA (tRNA) molecules are approximately 80 nucleotides in length. The record is from Rfam by way of RNAcentral. Lineage: Eukaryota; Metazoa; Chordata; Mammalia; Rodentia; Cricetidae.
UGGGAUGUAGCUCAGUGGUAGAGUGCUUGCCUAGAAUGUAUGAGACUCUAGGUUCAGUUUCCACCAUCUCAA